This 451-nucleotide ribosomal RNA is filed under the name uncultured bacterium. Its description in RNAcentral is "partial 16S ribosomal RNA". It matches the Rfam family "Bacterial small subunit ribosomal RNA", at positions 29 to 523 of the family's 1533-position model. The record is from RNAcentral.
AACGAACGCUGGCGGCAUGCCUAACACAUGCAAGUCGAACGAUUGCCUUCGGGUGAUAGUGGCGCACGGGUGCGUAACGCGUGGGAAUCUGCCCUUGAGUUCGGAAUAACAGCUGGAAACGGCUGCUAAUACCGGAUGAUCUCGCGAGAUCAAAGAUUUAUCGCCUGAGGAUGAGCCCGCGUUGGAUUAGGUAGUUGGUGGGGUAAAGGCCUACCAAGCCGACGAUCCAUAGCUGGUCUGAGAGGAUGAUCAGCCACACUGGGACUGAGACACGGCCCAGACUCCUACGGGAGGCAGCAGUGGGGAAUAUUGGACAAUGGGCGCAAGCCUGAUCCAGCAAUGCCGCGUGAGUGAUGAAGGCCCUAGGGUUGUAAAGCUCUUUUACCCGGGAAGAUAAUGACUGUACCGGGAGAAUAAGCCCCGGCUAACUCCGUGCCAGCCGCCGCCGUAA